Molecule: small RNA, 76 nt
Filed under: Arabidopsis thaliana (thale cress)
Lineage: Eukaryota; Viridiplantae; Streptophyta; Magnoliopsida; Brassicales; Brassicaceae
Description: ATSL161430
Source: RNAcentral
AUUUUUAAAGCAUCAUUAAGUUAUUUACAAGGGAUUUUAAAAAGGGUUACAUGGUUUAUAAACAAUUUUAAAAGAU